This is a non-coding RNA of Camellia sinensis, 342 nucleotides long. The record is from RefSeq and is a predicted model, not a curated record. Lineage: Eukaryota; Viridiplantae; Streptophyta; Magnoliopsida; Ericales; Theaceae.
UUCCCAAGUCUUAUAUAUGGCCUGUAGAUAAUCUAUAUUUACAGCCUCAUACCUCAGUUGUUUUGGAUGCUCAUAAAGAAGGUCUAGAAGUUUUUGCGUCAGAUUUUGCAAAUGACGUACCUUUUGCUUACAAUUUCAGUUAUAACCCUGUAGCUGAGUAUCUAUCUUUUAUUGACAAUGGAAACUUCUCUGUGGAUGGCGUGCUUUCUGACUUCCCAAUAACUCCAUCAGCGGCCAUAGCUUGUUUCUCUCACAGAGGCAGAAAUGUGUCAGGACAAGAAAAGCCUUUGGUUAUCUCAUCAAAAGGAUCGAGUGGGGACUACCCUGGUUGUACUGAUUUGU